Molecule: RNA transcript, 3285 nt
Organism: Lepisosteus oculatus (spotted gar)
Lineage: Eukaryota; Metazoa; Chordata; Actinopteri; Semionotiformes; Lepisosteidae
Gene name: sorting nexin-31
Source: RefSeq, a predicted model, not a curated record
UUUCAAUGACAAGCAGGGGCAGAUGGAAAUUUAUCCUCUGGGAUUCGUCAGGAGAAACACGGGUGUCCGGGACGUCAGACCUGCAGGAGACGUCUCUGUUGAUGACAAAACAGUAUUCCCUUACCUGCAGCAGGGAAGGAUGGUUUUCGCUUGAUCAGGAUGCAGACAAAAGUCCCCCCACAAUUCAUUUUAGUGUCGCGACAGCCUAUUCGCAAAAGUUUAAAAAACUAGCCAGAAAUACGUUUCCUUCGCUUUGAAUGAUCUCCAAAAUAAAUUUGGAGAAAAAAAAUCGGACGAGUGCACUAGGUGGCGCUUUGUGACUAGUAGCGAUACACACCGACACCAUGUUCAGGAAAGUGGUGAUUCUUUCAGCCGGCACGAAAUAAUGCAUUCUGACAUGCAUGCACGUCUGUCUCCUCCAUUUCCAGUGUCCUGACGGUGUCCGCUCAGCAUCCUUGUUGCUGUCUGUCUUUGCUUGAGGCCGUGCGCUGAAUAUCUGAAGGGACGAAACAGAACAACAUGUCGUGGGCUGGGCCCGGACGAAGCUGGGACUGGAGACCUCUAAGUAGGUCCAAAGCGCUGUUUUAAGUGGUCAUUGCCGGACCUGUAUGCCGGUCUUGACCAGAAUUUUCCAACCACUGCCCCAGAAGGAGCCGACUAGUUGGUCGCUGAAGAUUUUAAUGGCGCUUGUCGAGAGAUGAGGGGUGUUUGUGGCCGAAAAAGCUUUUGCAUAAUCUGGCCUCCCUAAAAGUUCUUAUUUCGACUGAAUUGGGAAAUAAUUUCUCCUCUCCCCAUUCCAGCUGGUGUGCAGUGGGGCUCCGGGAGCAUAAUGGUCACGCCUCGCAUCAAGCGGGUGCUGCUUUUCGCCGUUGGAUGAAAUGAGUCCCACCCCGCCGUAGACAAAGCGCUUUUCCAGCGUUUACAAAUGCAGAGAAAUGGAAAAUAAACCAUAGUCGCCGGGUGAUGUGUGGGAGGGGACUGUAUUGACCUGGACGGGUCUGAACUUCAAACGCGGAGGACGGGUAGCUGUUUUAUUAAUAGGACGGCGUCCUUUGAGCGGAACAGCUAUGCGCACAAGCUUUCCUUAGCCCUACCCGAGCAGCUCAGGACUCGUCGCUGCCGUCUCUCCUUUACCUGCAGAUGGGGCGGAGCUCUAAAAUCUCAAUAUCACACCCCUGAAACUGCAAGCCGAGUGGCAGGUGGUGUGCGGUUCGGGGAGGGGGAGAGCGGAGUCUUGCAUUUCGUUUCGGAAGACGAGGAUGCAUUUUAAUAUACCCGUAACAGAAGAAAAAACUGACAAAUUUGGUGGACGUUAUGUGGUGUACAAUAUUUACCUGGAGGGUCUACUUUUGUGUAAAGUAAGAUACAGCGACAUGCACAAAUGGAACGAAGAGUUAAGAAGAGUUUUCAAGGACUGCGUCCCCGGCUUCCCACCCAAAUAUUUCCUGGCCAUGACGGAGAAGAUGCAAGACCAGAGAAGACACCUCCUGGAGCAGUACCUCCAGAAAGUGGCUGAAAUCUCCAGCAUUGCGACGUCUGGCAUUUUUUGCUCGUUCUUCAGAAAAAUGCAACAGGGGACCUUCAGGAUCCCUGAGCGCAGUGUUGUGCAGGAUGUCAUUCUUCCAGACGGAAGGAAAAUCGGAGUGGAAAUCCGGAUUUCAGACACAGCCCACACUCUGAUGGAGAUCGUGUCAGACAAGAUGGGACUGCCCAGAGAUCUGAUGGGGUAUUUCGGUCUGUUCCUCGUCCAAGUGAAAGGCAAUGAAACACUGUCUGUCGUGAAGAAGCUGGUGCCCUUCGAGCUGCCUCGUCUCACUCUGGAGAGCCUGGAGGGCGGCCCGAGCGCCAUCAUGCUCCGGAAGAGCUACCUGGACACGUCCGUGGACGCGGAGGUCCUGCAGAGCAGCUGUGGCCUGAGUCUCCUUUGUGCGCAGGCUGCUGCUGACCUGGAGAGGGGGUGGAGUCGGCCCACGGAGGAGCAGCGCAGGACACUGGGGGCUCUGCUGGAGGCGGGCCGGAAGAGAGAGUUCCUGCAGGCUGCCCAGCGCCUCAGGUUCUACGGCCACAUCCAGUUAGACCCCUGCACCUGCGACCACCCUGAGCCCAGCUGCCCUGCCGCCGUGUGGGUGGGGCAUCCAGGCCUGCACUGUUGCAUCACGUUGCCUGGCAACCAGACAAGAGAAGAGCACUUCGAGAUCAAUCGGAUGAAGUCCUGGUGUGUCAGCAUGUUGUCAAGAUCGAGUCAAGAUGACGCCGUGGGGCUGAGCCUGAGCUUCGAGUACACCUUUGAUGACGUGUGGAAAAGCAUUACUCUUCACACUAAACAGGUUCCUCUUGAGCUGUGGCUUCUGAAGAGGCCCGCUGGGUUCGUGCCUUUGGCUUGGGGGCGUUUGAGUAACUGUGGAGCUUGCAGCCUGUGAGCUUUCAAGUGGUCAGUUCAGUUGGUCCUGGACCUGUUUCCAUGGUCCAGGUCUUCAGUUCAGACAAGGGUCAAAGAAUGGAGCAAAGGUGAAAGGGGUUAAAAAUAAGAAUUGGGGAUUAGAAUUUGAAUAAAUAAUAGUCAUAUUAUUAUAAGUUAUUGUCUAAUAAUAUUUGACAAUUUUGUCAAACGGGAUUGUCCAUAAUACUUGUACUUUUUUGACACGGUAGUUCUGCACUGCUUUUUCCUAGUUUGAAUGUUUUUGUAAUCCUCUAAUGUGACAUAAUGCAGUACUGUUCUGUUUAGUGUACUAAUACUUUAUCUCAAAACUCCAGGCAAAUGCGUAUCUUACCAGAAAGUACUUCGCUUGACUUACUGGUUGGAAAGCAGUUGGAUUAAUUGGCAUGAAUCUGUGUCAUUGAUGGAGAUCUGGUUUGUUUUCACCGACGUGACAAAUGGAGAGUGGUGUCUGGAGUAUUAGCUCUUACUGGGUUGUGAAAAGUAGUCUGAAAAUGCUGUCUGCAAUCUGUCAUUCCCGAAUGUUUUCUUUCAGUCCUUUAGCAAAUUUAGACACUAAUAGUUAGGUGACCAUUGACAGUAAGGAUAUAUAGCUGAAAUGGGAAAGUGCUGGUCACAGCCACGCACGUUAAAAAAAAAUUAAAUCUUUAGAAUGAAAGCAAAUCUGCAAGAAACUGUAGACCUUCAGUGUCGUGGUAUGCUAUGCCAUGGUUUAUGAAGACACUCUUGGCUUUUUAUUUUUUUUUAGGCCUUCCUGCUAAGCAGGUUAAUGCUGCUGGUUUUGAAAGAACAGCAAGCGAAGGUCGCUGAAGACCUCACUGACGUGACGGACCCUCCGAAUGUGCGGA